GCACCCGUGGCGUAGUGGUUAGCGCCCUCGUUUAAUCCGGUCGACGCGGGUUCGACCCCCACCCGGGGUG
Caenorhabditis brenneri is the source of this 70-nucleotide non-coding RNA. The record is from the annotation of a GenBank genome assembly. NCBI's taxonomy places the organism in Eukaryota, Metazoa, Nematoda, Chromadorea, Rhabditida, Rhabditidae.